ACAAGCCUGCUGAUCCUUGUGUGCUGUCGGUGUUAUUUGCCCAUCACAAACGCUUCAUCGUUAUUGCAGAAACCGCAGAUUUUUCCCCUGGAAUCGAAGGCCGGAUUUUCUACCAUUCUUUGGAUUUGCCUUUCCAUUCGGACUAAUCGAAAACUUCACUCAAAGAUUUUGUAAGAAUCUGUACUCCAUUUGAGAAGUGAAAGGAAAGCAAUGGCACGACAUGACUAGACCCUUGGCCAUGCGGAAACAUAUGGAAACGAGUGUAAAACCUCCAUCAGGAAAAAUAGUGUCCGCAAUAACACCAUGAACGCUAGUGUGUAAUUGGAAUCGAUGGCAAUAUGAAUACAAUUAUUAUAUUUUUACCUUA
Long non-coding RNA from Aedes aegypti (yellow fever mosquito), 367 nucleotides. RefSeq lists it as uncharacterized. Lineage: Eukaryota; Metazoa; Arthropoda; Insecta; Diptera; Culicidae. The transcript is spliced from 2 exons. The record is from RefSeq and is a predicted model, not a curated record.